This is a long non-coding RNA of Capsicum annuum, 634 nucleotides long. RefSeq lists it as uncharacterized. NCBI's taxonomy places the organism in Eukaryota, Viridiplantae, Streptophyta, Magnoliopsida, Solanales, Solanaceae. The transcript has 2 exons. The record is from RefSeq and is a predicted model, not a curated record.
CUCUUUUAGGUUUGAAAUUUGCGGAAGAAAUUUCUUAGCUUUUCUUCCUUCCUUUUCAAGAAAAUAAUUCAUCAUUGAUGUCGCCAUUGAUAGUGUUAAAUCAAACGAUUUAUCAUUGAAAUUUGUGGGAGGAAUUUAUUGGCUUUUCUUUCUUCUUUUUUCAAGAAAAUGAUUUAUCAUUGAUACCACCAACAUCACCGCACCAAACACCAUCAGUGGAGGAAAUCGAUUCAACUCCCGAUGUCGUCAUUGAUGGUGCUAAAUCAAAGAAAAACGGAGUUCUGCUUCUUUGAAAGGAAAAAUUGGUCCUUCAAAACACAAAGCUAUUGAAAAAAUCAAAAGACAUACUCCAAAAGGAUAUACAUUACAUUGUCAAAGAAGUUCCACUACAUUCGUUAAGGUUUGAGAGUUCUUGCAACACUAAAAAUUUAGAAGAUUUUAAAGAAAUUCUGAAAGAUGAAGGGAUGGAGUUGUUUGGUCAUACGAUGGGUGAUAUUCUUUUGAAUUUCAAAGAGAGGAGAAGAAUGUUUCAAUAAGAUGAUUUUUUUUUUUAAUAUCAACAUUGUAAUUAAUUAUGAUUUCUUGAGAAUUUUGACAGUGAUUUUAAAGUUAUGAAACGUUAUUUCCUCCUCAA